This 356-nucleotide unclassified non-coding RNA is filed under the name fungal sp. Its description in RNAcentral is "partial internal transcribed spacer region". The stretch from base 1 to 46 matches the Rfam family "Eukaryotic small subunit ribosomal RNA", at positions 1786 to 1831 of the family's 1831-position model. The record is from RNAcentral. Lineage: Eukaryota; Fungi.
AAGUCGUAACAAGGUUUCCGUAGGUGAACCUGCGGAAGGAUCAUUAACACGUAUCCAACGUUAAAACAACCCCCGUGAACUUUCAGCUUGCUCCUGUAGCCCGUGAAAACAGCAAUCCCUGGUAAAUCAUUGUUGACCAGCUUUUGAGUCAGGGACCUCUGCCGAUUGUGAUAUUUUAUAGCUACGGUUGAGCGAUUGCAUCUAUGGCGCAGUCACGAUCGCUGUAGGCCCACACGGCCGGCGACCGGGUCACCGGGCUCUGCCCCUUUACGACAACACAGUACGAAUUGGCCGCGCGUGAAAUUCGCACGGCACCAAAAACCGAACAACUGUUAACAAUGGAUAUCUUGGUUCUC